CGCCUCAUGAAAAACCUAUAAGAGGUCCAGCCUGCCCAGUGACUCUGUUCAACGGCCGCGGUAUCCUAACCGUGCGAAGGUAGCGUAAUCACUUGUUCUUUAAAUAAGGACUAGUAUGAAUGGCACCACGAAGGUUAUACUGUCUCCUUUUUCCAAUCAGUGAAACUAAUCUUCCCGUGAAGAAGCGGGAAUAAUCUUAUAAGACGAGAAGACCCUAUGGAGCUUUAAAUUAUCAACAAUUAUCUUUUUUUAAUUUUACUAAAACAGAAUCAAUUCUGAUAAUAUGGUUGUUAAUUUUCGGUUGGGGUGACCGCGGAGUAAAAUUUAUCCUCCACGAUGAACAGGACAUGCUCCUAAACAAAGAAUUACAAUUCAAAGCAUCAAAAAAUUGACAUUAUUGACCCAAUACUUUGAUCAACGAACCAAGUUACCCUAGGGAUAACAGCGCAAUCUAUCUUAAGAGUUCAUAUCGACAGAUAGGCUUACGACCUCGAUGUUGGAUCAGGGUAUCCCAGUGGUGCAGCCGCUACUAAAGGUUCGUUUGUUCAACGAWUAAAACCCU
Molecule: ribosomal RNA, 562 nt
Filed under: Agalychnis lemur (lemur leaf frog)
Lineage: Eukaryota; Metazoa; Chordata; Amphibia; Anura; Hylidae
Description: Hylomantis lemur (lemur leaf frog) partial 16S ribosomal RNA
Rfam family: Bacterial large subunit ribosomal RNA
Source: RNAcentral